AGAACGAACGCUGGCGGCAUGCCUAAUACAUGCAAGUCGAACGAACACUUCGGUGUUAGUGGCGCACGGGUGCGUAACGCGUGGGAAUCUGCCCUUGGGUUCGGAAUAACAGUUGGAAACGACUGCUAAUACCGGAUGAUGACGAAAGUCCAAAGAUUUAUCGCCCAGGGAUGAGCCCGCGUAGGAUUAGCUAGUUGGUGAGGUAAAGGCUCACCAAGGCGACGAUCCUUAGCUGGUCUGAGAGGAUGAUCAGCCACGAGUUGGGACUGGAGACCACGGCCCAGACCUCCGACGGGAGCAGCAGCGAAGGAAUAGUGGACAAGGUGGGCACAAGCCUAGACUCCAGCAAGUCGCCGUCGU
Molecule: ribosomal RNA, 360 nt
Filed under: uncultured soil bacterium
Lineage: Bacteria
Description: bacterial SSU rRNA
Rfam family: Bacterial small subunit ribosomal RNA
Source: RNAcentral